AACUGAUACUACCUGCGGGAACCUGCGGAAGGAUCAUUAUCGAGUUUACAACUCCCAAACCAUUGUGAAUCUUACCUUUUCGUUGCUUCGGCGGGAUCGCCCCGGGCGCUUCGGUGCCCCGGAUUCAGGCGCCCGCCGGGGGACCUAAACUCUUGUAUUAUAGUGGAUUUCUGAGUGGAUUACACAAAUAAUCAAAACUUUCAACAACGGAUCUCU
RNAcentral lists this unclassified non-coding RNA (216 nucleotides) under soil metagenome. RNAcentral describes it as "partial contains 5.8S ribosomal RNA, internal transcribed spacer 2, and large subunit ribosomal RNA". The record is from RNAcentral.